This 497-nucleotide ribosomal RNA is filed under the name uncultured bacterium. Its description in RNAcentral is "partial 16S ribosomal RNA". It matches the Rfam family "Bacterial small subunit ribosomal RNA", at positions 28 to 507 of the family's 1533-position model. The record is from RNAcentral.
GAUGAACGCCGGCGGCGUGCCUAAUACAUGCAAGUCGAGCGAACGGACGAGAAGCUUGCUUCUCUGAUGUUAGCGGCGGACGGGUGAGUAACACGUGGAUAACCUACCUAUAAGACUGGGAUAACUUCGGGAAACCGGAGCUAAUACCGGAUAAUAUUUUGAACCGCAUGGUUCAAAAGUGAAAGACGGUCUUGCUGUCACUUAUAGAUGGAUCCGCGCUGCAUUAGCUAGUUGGUAAGGUAACGGCUUACCAAGGCAACGAUGCAUAGCAGACCUGAGAGGGUGAUCGGCCACACUGGAACUGAGACACGGUCCAGACUCCUACGGGAGGCAGCAGUAGGGAAUCUUCCGCAAUGGGCGAAAGCCUGACGGAGCAACGCCGCGUGAGUGAUGAAGGUCUUCGGAUCGUAAAACUCUGUUAUUAGGGAAGAACAUAUGUGUAAGUAACUGUGCACAUCUUGACGGUACCUAAUCAGAAAGCCACGGCUAACUACGUG